This 253-nucleotide ribosomal RNA is filed under the name uncultured bacterium. RNAcentral describes it as "partial 16S ribosomal RNA". It matches the Rfam family "Bacterial small subunit ribosomal RNA", at positions 524 to 776 of the family's 1533-position model. The record is from RNAcentral.
GACAGAGGGUGCAAACGUUGUUCGGAAUUACUGGGCGUAAAGCGUGUGUAGGCGGCCAUGAAAGUCGGAUGUGAAAGCCCCGGGCUCAACCCGGGAAGUGCACUCGAUACUGCUUGGCUCGAGUCUCGGAGAGGUUGGUGGAAUUCUCGGUGUAGAGGUGAAAUUCGUAGAUAUCGAGAGGAACACCGGUGGCGAAGGCGGCCAACUGGACGAAGACUGACGCUGAGACACGAAAGCGUGGGGAGCAAACAGG